CGCCUGUUUAUCAAAAACAUAGCCUUAAGAUAUAAUAAUUUAAGGUAAGCCCUGCCCAGUGGAUAAUUCUUAACGGCCGCAGUACCUUGACUGUGCUAAGGUAGCGUAAUCAGUUGGCUUUUAAAUGGGGUCGAGAAUGAACGGGGCCAUGGGAAAAAACUGUCUCUUUUCUAAUUAAUUGAAUUUGCUAAAUAGGUGAAAAUACCUUUUUAAAGAAAAUAGACGAGAAGACCCUUAGAGCCUUUACAAUAUAUUAUAAAUUAUUUGUUUUUGUUGGGGCGACAAGAAGACAAAUAAAACUCUUCUGCUAUACUGGACGAUUAUAUUAUGUAAGAAUAGGCUACCUUAGGGAUAACAGCAUAAUUAUUUAUAGUUUGUGACCUCGAUGUUGGACUAGGAACUUGAUGACUAGUCGUCAAUAAAGGAAGUUCUGUUCGAACUCUUAAAUUCCUACGUGAUCUGAGUUCAGACCGG
Molecule: ribosomal RNA, 474 nt
Filed under: Zospeum cf. suarezi AMW-2013
Lineage: Eukaryota; Metazoa; Mollusca; Gastropoda; Ellobiida; Ellobiidae
Description: partial 16S ribosomal RNA
Rfam family: Bacterial large subunit ribosomal RNA
Source: RNAcentral